Molecule: RNA transcript, 10301 nt
Organism: Gallus gallus (chicken)
Lineage: Eukaryota; Metazoa; Chordata; Aves; Galliformes; Phasianidae
Gene: NOVA1
Gene name: NOVA alternative splicing regulator 1
Exons: 7
Source: RefSeq, marked validated
CUCCCUGCCCCCCCAACACCGAAGGGAAGAGACAAUUCUCCUCCGAGCAGCAGCAAACAUGAUGGCGGCAGCUCCCAUCCAGCAGAACGGGACUCACACCGGGGUUCCCAUAGACCUGGACCCGCCGGACUCCCGGAAAAGACCGCUGGAAGCCCCCCCCGAAGCGGGCAGCACCAAGAGGACCAACACGGGCGAGGAUGGCCAAUAUUUUCUAAAGGUCCUCAUACCUAGUUAUGCUGCUGGAUCUAUAAUUGGGAAGGGAGGACAGACAAUUGUUCAGUUGCAGAAAGAGACCGGGGCCACCAUCAAGCUGUCUAAAUCCAAAGAUUUUUACCCAGGUACUACGGAGCGCGUGUGUCUGAUCCAGGGAACAGUUGAAGCACUAAAUGCAGUUCAUGGCUUCAUUGCAGAGAAGAUUCGAGAAAUGCCUCAAAAUGUGGCCAAGACAGAGCCUGUCAGCAUCCUACAACCUCAGACCACUGUUAAUCCAGACCGCAUCAAACAAACAUUGCCAUCUUCCCCAACUACCACCAAGUCCUCUCCAUCUGAUCCCAUGACCACCUCCAGAGCCAAUCAGGUUUCUCUCUCCUUUAAUAGGACUGGUAUUUGCUGAGCCUGAGUGAAGGGUGUUUAAGUUUAAAUAGAGUGCAGAAGAGAGGAACUGAUUCUAAUGCCAACUCAACUUGAGAAGGUAAGAUGACCAAAAACUCUGAAAUUUUAAAAAUGCUUUUCUGCUACCUUAAAAAUCCCUCAGUCGUUACCUUUACAAAAGCAAAAUAAAAAGACUGUCUUUAUCUUAGGUCUCUGAAAACUAAUAGUUAAGUAUCAAAAGGAAACAAGCAGACCUAUAAUAUAACUGUAUAAAACAGAGAGUAAUCAUAUUCAUACCAAUUUAUUCCUUAAUAAGUUUCAACUAAUUUCAUGGUAGAUUAAUCUGAAUUUACUGCUCUGAAGUGAUAUAAAUAAGAACAUAGUUUAAUUCAUUCCUAAGUGAUCAAUUCAAAAUAAAAUUUUAAAAAAAGGCAUUUCUGGGAAUGAUUUGAAGUAUUUUUCCUCUUCAUAACUGUGCAAAUUCCUUGAGCUUUGUCCCCAGAAUCUCUGCAUCAGAUUGUCUUGACAUCUUUGCUAUUCUGGAUACUAUGAAGCACAGUCGUUCAUGGGAAAUGAGAAUCUUCUCCACAGUUAUUAGGUAAGAAAGCUGCUCUUGCCCUGAUUUUGGGUUUAAAUGUAGUAAUACAACACGGUAUAUUGCUUUGUUCAUUAAUUGGUUGUUAAGCAGAUUGUUUUAGUUGUCUCUUUGUAGAUAUAAAGCACUAUUUGCAAAGCAACAGUUUGUUCCAAGCAGAGCUGUCUGUCUUAGCAAUCAAAGCCUGCAAUCAUAUUUCUGCUCAUUUUGAAGGCUCACUGUGAAAUCUUUCAGGAAUUAGAACUGCACCUUCAGAUCUCUCUGUGGUCUGGUUUAAGCUAUCUUUGGGAUUAUCUCUUCCUCUGAAAUCCUGACAAGAGGUACAUUCAAAUAGAAAAGAAAUAUCAUCUGUCUCAGGAAUAAAUCCUACAUGUACUCAGAAGACAGUUUUACAGAGCCUAUCAAUCAAACAGUCAUGGGGGAGAAUUCAGACAUAACUAAGUAAACUUGAUGACCUUCUCUGUGCUGAAAAUACUGAUGAUGAACAUGCAACAUAUAAUGAAAUAAUAUGAAAAUAACUGUUUGAGCUGUCUUAAGCACCAAUAAUCAGAAGCUCUUCCAGAAGAUAAAGUAAGACACACUGUACAAUUUUAUAAUGGCGCUUAGUUAUGAGAACUACCAAUGUUUUUUUUUGUUUGUUUUUUGUUGUUUUUUUUUUUUUUUUUUGAAGCAUCUGGAAAGUAGAUAAACUGGGAAAGUGAGAAACUAGCUAUGUUUACUUUUUAUGGUGAACUCAGUAGAUAGUAGAAGAGUGACAGACAGUAAGGAAGACUUCAUUUAAAGCAGCUUGUAUAAUCCAUUUAAUUCUCUCCAUUUUGUGAGUUUUUUGCUGAAGGAGGGUUGAUUAGGGAGGGAGUAGGGUUGUUCAAGGAGCUGAGAGAAAGAAUAGUAAUCCCCAAGAGUUCCUGCAAAACUUGGUUUCAAAUAAAAUAGCAGUCAUCUAAAAAACAUUAGUAUAUUAUAUGUGUGUUACUGAUACUUCUGUUUGCUUCAUGUUCUAGGAGAUCAUUUCUUUUCUUACUCGCUUUAAAGACUUGUGGAAAAGAAGACAGAAAUCGGCUAAAAGAUCACCAGAAUAUUUCCACUCCUAAUGGAAACUUAUUUUUUGUUUUAGAGGAUCAGACAAGUGUCUAAGCCAAUGCAGAUUACUAUAUUUUUUCAUUUGCUGUAAGAACCUGGAACUUCUAUCCUAGAAACAUAAAAUGUGCAUGUGUGAAUGCAUACAGUGACACAUUUAUUGGUGUCAUAGCAAACAGGGUUAAAAUGCUGGUGAAGUAAACAGAAUAGUUUCAUUUUCCUUAGAUUUGUCUAUUAGAAAGUUGAAACCUUGAAAGAUAUUAAAAUUCAUUAAAUAAAACUUCUUAUUUAUGACAUCAUUUUGUCACAUUAUUGGAUAACAGUUGUUUGGUAUCUCUAAUGACUCAUCACUCUUUGCAAUAAAACUUCUCCAUGCUGAUACAGUAUAUCAUAUGAUCUACAAUUCCAUGAAGAAAAGAAAGAUACAUGAAUAUAAAAUCAACUUGAAUUUAAUUUCAGCUAAGGCAUUUUUAAUCCAAGAGUGAAGAGUUAGGUUUACAGUCGAUCUAAACUGCCCAGGCUUAAUUUUAAGGUGCUGUGGUUCACAAUGGUGUGAAAAAGAACUCUGCACAAUACGUUUACUUGUAGGUAAAAUCAACUGUUUCUUUGACUGGCUUUCUUUAACCACUGUGAGAAACUAAUUCAAACAAUCACCAAUUAGCUUUCUGGGAGAUGUAUAAAAUCAUAAGUAAAAACUCGGUCUUAAACAUAAUACUAUGAAUUAGACUACUUAGAAGAAAAUGUAUUUCCAUCAUUUUUUUUUCUUUUUAAAGAACAUGUUAGCUAGAAUUAGAAUAAUUCCCUAUCAAAUGCUUUUCCAAGUACUGCUGAUCGCAGUUUUAAGUAUCCCUCAUUUAUUUACAGCAGGUAUGUGUGCAUGAAAGCUAUUCCUUACUACUUAUAAGUGUUGAAUUGUGAGGGUUUCACUGAAACUCAGUGAGUGUGUGAACAUGACUAAUUCCCAGACUUCAGCCUUUUGUACACUUACGUUCUCCUCUGGCUGAAAGAGAUUAUUUUGUAUAAGCUCCAAUACCAUACUAAACUGAAAAAAUGAGACACAUGAGAUUCAUAGACUGUGAAGCAUUGGCUGCAUAGAUAGAAAAGCAGUAGCAGAAAAAUUCCAGUUGAGAUAACAAGAGAAAUUACUGAGAAUCUGGUUAGCCAGCAGCAGAAUAUUGUCUUAUAUUUCCAAUACACUGCAAAGUUCCAAUGUUCUCAAAAUCAGUGGAAUUGAAGACUCUAUAAACCUAGCUUUUAGGGCAUAAUGACAUUUUUUUUUUCUACAGAGAGAGUAAUCUUAAAACCAUAUUAGAACACAUAUCUGAUACAAAGAUCUUCAACUUUGUGCAUCUUGUUUUGUUACACUCUGGUUCCCAUGUUGUUGUGGGUGUUUACAGUUCUGGAAAUCUAUUUGAAGUUCGAAGAAAUUCUGGCUAGAAUAUUAGUGAGAUUAGGGGAAUAAAUCCACAAAUAACCAACCCAUCCUUCAUUUUUAAUAUAUAAAUAUGUAUAUAUGUAUAUAUAUAUACACAUUAAUAAUAGGCAAAGGAGAAAGAGAUUUUUUGCUGCUGAAACAGCUUUGGGUGUAGUGUGAGACCAUCAUGCAUUUUGACAAGUACAACCUGGAACAUCUAUCAAAUCGUCAUGUUUCCUGUCAUGAACACUGAAAUAAGUAUUGAAUAUUUUUAUGUUCAUUGAUAUGUAUCAAAAUUAUUUUAAAAUUUCUUAAUACUUUGUUUAAUCUUUCUUAGCAUCGAGUGAUAAUUCCUGUGAAUACAUCAGAUGCCAUUGCUUGCAAGAUAAAUGGGUUAAUCUAAAAAGUUGGCAGAUAUCUUUUCUAGAAAUUCCUGCCAGAGAUGUUAUAGAAAACUUGUGAUUUUUGAGCUAGUUGUUGGGAUCUAAUUUCUUACUUAGAAAUUUGUUUAAAAAGUGAAACUUUUAAUGCCACUCUUAAAAUGGUGUAGCUUUAAUUUUAACUUCAUGCAGAUUUUAAAGAAGUAAGCUGUCUGUGGAUAUGGUAUAACUAAAAGAUCAUACCCAGGACAUUACACAUUAAUUUCUUAUACUUGCAUCCAGUCAUACCUGUAUCAGUUUUGCCACUAACGUGCCGUUAUAUGUUGUAGGAAAUUCUAUCUUAAUAUUCAUACUGAAAAAUGUAGGCUGCUUCUUCUGUCAUUAUUAUACAAAGCAUUUUAUAAAUUAAGAAUUCACAUUUCCAGUCUACUCAAUCAGUUAUCAAGUUUGAGAUCUACUUUGUUGUAGCUCAAAGAUGCAUGACAAUGUAAUCUUUGUCAUGCCUUUAUGUCUUACUGAUUAGAAAAAUAAAAACAUUUUGAUAUUAUAGAAUCUUCAAAUAAUGUUUGCUAUAAAGGAACAUAAUUUUAAGAGGACAGAAUACAAAUAGGUCUGUCAUUGGUGAAGUGGACUUAACCCCAUUAAUAUUGUGAUGCUGCUACUCAUACUAAUAAUUGACUGCCUUCUCUGAUAGGCUUAAAAGACGAUGUGAAUGUAUGAGAAUUAAUCACUAGAUGUGUACUCUGUGACAUUAGAAAAAUGUCUUUAAAUGAUAAUAGAACAAGUAUUUAAAUAAUUGUGGAAUUUUUGCCUUUGUGACUGGAGCAAAUUAAGUUUGACUGGAAAAUCCCUUAAGAUCAGCCAUCAUGUUACUACAAAGAGUUGCAGAAAAAAGAACAUUUACUUGCUUGUAGUCUCUCAAGAUGUCUUAAAUGUCAAAUAUUGGACUUAGGGGUUUUGUUUGUUUGUUUGUUUGUUUGUUUUUGUUUUUUUUUUAAUCAUUCUCACUGUGGCAUACUCUAGCUUUUAUUCAUCGGACCUUUGUUAACAUUUUCAGUUUUCCUGACUGUAAGUGGAGGUGCUGUCUAACUAUUAACACGUUCCUCUUUUUGAACAGCAAUUUCUUGCUCACUCUAGGUUAACGUUACUCUAAGAAUAACGGUACAAAAGUAAUUACUAGGUUAUUAAUUUAACAAAAUCUUCAUUUUUAAUUUAAUUGCUUUAAUUUUCAGAAUAAAGGCAUAGAGUUGACACUCAAUUUUAACAUUAAAAAACAAAACAGCAACAACAACCAACAAUAAACUACAGGCCAGGCACUUCAUAAAUCUAACAUAUUAUUGUUAUUAUCAUAUGAAGGUCAAGUAAAUUUAUAAAUCAAUAAGGCACUGUACUGAAGUUUGAUUUUUUAUGCAUAACUAUAUCUACAGAUGUGAUGGACUGCAGUUUAGGCACACUGGUUGUGGGGAGAAUUUUUAAAAUUUUCAAAAGUAAAAGCAAAGUAUAUCUGAGAUUUCUUUUUAUUUUUGAAAUCUGUUGUAUAGUUGUACUCUUUGUGCUUAUUUCAUGCCUUCAGCUCUAAAAAAAAUGCUUAUCCCAGUUAGCAUGAUUUUUUUUUCCGAUCAAUUAAAAGUAGAUGAGGAUACUCUGAAUCAGUGACAGGAAACUAAAAUAUUCGUUCAGAGCAUGCCUGUGCUCUAUAUGAAAAUGCUUUAAUAUUUAGAGAAUUUUCAUUGUGGGUUUUGAGAAUUUCAUUGUGGGUUUUGAGAAUUCUCUCUUCUAAAUAUACUGGGGUUAAAUUUAACACUUUCUUUCUAUACAACAAAAUGUGAUUAAUUGAAAUAUUCUGAUUUGCAUUCUGAAAUUCAAUUCCUUAAAUGAAAAUAAGCAGAAUACUAAGCACUGAAAUGUUUCAUUACGUAGAUUAAUUCAUGUUGUUGUCCAAAAACUAUAAAUGAGUUACAUAUGAAAAUAAGGGUUAUAGCCACAGUAGAAAAUAAAAUUAAAAAAAAAAAAAAUCUUGGAAAAAAAUUGUCACCCUUAAAAGACAUGUGUGUGCAUGUAUUUGAGAGAAAGAGAGGGAGUAUGUGAGUGUAAGAAAAUGAGAUUUAAUGAACUUAAAUUGCAAAGGGCACAUCAUCAUCAUCUGGUUGUCACAUCACAGGACAGUAAAGAGGUGGACAGUCAUUUUCUUGUCCAGUCAAAAAUUAUUGAAGGAAUUAUUAAAAAGAAAAGUACGAAAACUUUCUCUGUAUUUUUGAGAGUAAAAUCAUUCUUUUUAUGAAGACUUCUCUAUCCCGGUACCUGACAUUAAGAAAACAAUAAGAUCAAAUAAUAAUAAAAAUUAUUAAUUUUUUGUAUAGGCACUUGAUAAAAGGCUGCAUAUUCAUGUUUCAAGUAACUCCUGGAGAGCAAACAGAGAGAAUGUACAUCUCAGAAAGAUAAGCAGCUUUUCUAUAUUCUAUAUACCAGUAAUAAUAAAUAACAAAAGUAGUAGUAAAAAAGGGUGAAAUUCCAAGGUUUGAAUUUUACAGAAAUUCUGUAAAAUUUUACAGAAAUCUGACUCAGCUCAGUCAGAUAAAGUUACUAAAGUGGAUUUUUUCACUUGGCUGCAAAAAAUCUAUUUUCUAUAUUUAGGAAAAAGAAACAAAACUGAAUUCUGAUGUUAAGUGACACUUUUGACAAACAAAAGCAUCAAGUUUUUCCAUUAGUAUUGCUUAUUGAUUAUUGAACAUACAUUACAUUUUGGGGCAAUAUUGGUUAUAUACAUAGUGGUCAGUGGUGUUGAAUUAUGAAUCUAAAUAGUAUAUUACAGAUAUUAUAAAAUGCUUCGUUUUUUUUUUUUUUUUUCAUUACCUUCCAAUCCAUUAAAGUUUUGGUGAAUAAAAACACUUCCUAGUCUUCCCUAGGAUCUGAAAAUAUUCAGGAACUCCUGCUCUUGGUGAAGAUGUGGACACGAUGAGGGAAGAACCUCCUGUGUCCUGGCAGAAUGAAUGCCAUGUAGAAAUUUCAGCUCUACAUUUCCUGACUUGGGGUGACCUUUGAGGAGCUAUAGAGAGUAUUGGGUCAGACAGCAUAGAAAUAUAAAUAAAAUCAAUGAGAAUUCUGGUGAAAACAUCGUUUUGCUGUCCUAGAAAAUUGUACCUCCAUUCAAGUUGAAGUAUUUUGUUUCACUGUUAACUGAAGAGAGCAAAUUUUUUUCUUAUAUUAAUAUAAUAAAUUUCAAAUCAUAAACAAUAUUCUAAACUAAAGAAUAACAGCAGUAGAACUUCUAGUAAAAGCUUUUAUAGUUACUAUUUGUGUUGAUGCUUAUUUGUACCUUACUGAACCUUUGUAUACUGCCUGAGUUUUAGAACAGUUUUCUUGAGAAAACUUUUCACACCAACACUUGCAUCAGUGCUAUAACAGUCUCCUUGAGUUCUUUGACAAGAAAGUGGACUAUAAUAUCUUCUAUCAAGCUAACCUGAACCUUGUGCUACACCUUGACUUCAGUUUUCCCAAGAACUUUUUGCAUCCAACAUUAAUGGUGUCUGAACUAAAUGUCUUGACAGCAGAGCACAACUUAGUUGACUGAAGAUAGAAUCAAAGUUCUUGAAACAGAAUGACAUUUUGGCAAUGUGUGAUGGUGUUAAAACUUGUUCUACUCUGAAAUGUAUGCUCAAGUCGUUCAGAUUGUGUCUACUUUACUUGCUUGAAGUCCACCACAAAAAGAUAGUACAUAGUUUAGUGUUGAUGUUAGUCCUAUUAUCUCUUUCAAAGGGCUGAUUUUGUUACUAGUAUGAGAUUACUGUGUGUUUUAUCAUUUCAAAAUGUUGGUAGAGGGAGAAAAACAAAGCUAUGCCAUCUUACUGAAAAGAUUUUCUCUUGAAGCAGACCAAAAUUAACAAUUCAAGUAGUAGGAAUUCCAGCCCUCUGCUUUUGAUUUGUUUUGUGACAGUAAGGAUACCCAGCAUGGGAUGAGUACAAGAACAACAUAUUUUUGUAAUCAAAAUAUAGCUGGAAGGUUUUGCAUCAUUAUUUUCUCAGCAUAUUUUCAAAGGUACUCUUCAGUGAAAAUUAUGUUGCUCGUUUGUUUGUUUUUGUAGCCAUGCAAAAUAUUCCUGCCAUAGUUCUGAUGUAUAGCUUGUAAAGUCCCUGAAGUGAAGCAGCAAUAGCCAUUACAGUGCUACAGAUCUGCUUUGCAUUUGUAAUGUGUGCACAUAAUGCAUUUGAACUGCUGGCAAAACUACCUCACAGUAGUACUGCGGAAUGCCUCUUAAAUUAGGACUGUUCCACAGGUCUGCAGCAGUUUUCUUGUGGUGCUAAGUUAGUUCAUUCUUGUAGACAUGGACAGUAAUCUGAAUCACUCUUACUGCAAACUGAGUUAUAGAUAAAGUCUCCCCAGUAGUUGAAAGGAACAGCAUAGUUGUGCAAAGAAAUGUUGAUGGCAUUUAUUUUCAAAUCAAGAAUUUUACUUCUUAGCACUCCUAGAUAUGUAAAAUACAUUCUCUAAUUUGGACUUCAUUAUCAAGAAGAAUAUUUGAGUAGAUCACCUUCAAAAUAUUUCACAGUUAUAUUUUACACGAUUUGUCAUACAAUUAGUAGUAGUAACAUUGUUUCAAUUCAGAAAAUCACAUCUAAUAUUCUAGAAAGUAUAACUGUCAGUUACAAAAAGGAAACUCUAUCCUUUUAAAUUGUGAAUAACUACAGAUAAUUCAAACAUAAAUAGGAUGAUAUAGGAGAAUACUGUAAUGGAACACUACUAAUAUUUUUUUUAAAUGAAGGGUCUUGGCAUAGUUGUUUAUUUUCAACAUUUUCAAAUGUUAAUGUAAUAAUAUUUUAUUAGCAAUGUAAAAAUCAAAAUAGAUAAACUAUAUGUACAGUAAAUGGGAAUAUCAACUGUAGUGAAAAAAAUAUUAUGCAGAUAAUUAAAUUGCAUAAGCAACUAAGACAUUAUCAGUAUGAGAUGUAACUGCCUACUACUUUUAUGGCUGAGUGUAAAGUAAGAAGAUAACAAGAAUAUGAAAUAAAUUGAAUAAAAAAAUAACAGAAAUUUGUGUAUAUUGUGAAAAAAGAUCCAGCUGUCAGAAUACAAAGAACCAUUGUCACAUAUCAGUUAAGAUUAAUCUGGAAGACACCUACUAGAUCCCAGUGUAAGAAAAAUAAAUUAUAUACUGCACAUUUUACCUAUACGUUUAUGAUGUGUUUUCCUAAAAGAAAAAUCCUAAUUUCUAGUGAGAAAUCGCCUUAUGAAUAAAUAUUGGGUGUAAAUGGAAAAUAACACUGAACUUUUGGGGUACAGAUGUGGUGUUGGGCAGUCCACAUGGGUUAUGUGUUCCCUUAUACAAAAGUCUUACCCUGUAAGUUUUAUUUGCACUGUGUAGGAAUCCUCUUAUUUCAUCCCAGUGAAGAAGCUGCAGUGCUAUCUUAGCACAAUACUGGAUCUACACUACGGUUUAUAGAUACGAUGUAGAUAACACAUAAUGUAAGGACUGUGCUACCACAUCUACAUUUGAUUUUAUUUGUGCUACCAUGACCACACUGAUCAUGAAGGCAUUUCAGAGGUAGCUGUAUAUUUUUCUUCAUUAAUUAGCCUAGAAAUGAAUUAUUUUACUGCAUUUACACUUAGUCCACUAGUGGAAAGACAAAGUCUUGAGAAAGUAGACCACAAAGAAAACAAAAGAAUUUAUGCAAACUCUUUAAGAAGACUAGAAACAGGGCAUGUGGAAAUACAAAGUAAAUUGUGUUCACAUAAAAUGUGAACACUGGCAGAUUGCUUUUUCUUCUUGCCAGUAAAACAUCAUUCUCAAAGUAAUGAGUUCUUUUAGGUAGCUGGGCAGUGAUGUGUUUAUCUUCUGACUUUACUUGUCAUAAAUAUCACUCUGGAUUUGUACAUUCUUCCACUGAUUUUUGAUUACAGAUUUGUACUUCUACCUGUGUUUUUAGGCAAAGUAAUAAUACUAUUAUUAAAAUAAUUUGCUAAAUAUUGUUGUGCUUCUAAUUAAGAAGUUAAUGAAUAUUUCUAUAAGUGAAAUGCUUAUGAAGAGGUCUGGUAUUUUCUUCUUUUUGGAUUAUUUUAAUAAAUCAAAAGAAGGAUGUAGGAACUGUACAUGUUUUAUCUAUUUCUCUAUAUAUAUGUAAAAAGAACAACUUUUCCCAUAUACACUGGAUUUAUUAUAUAUCUCCAAAGCAAUUUAAAAUGCACUGAAUUAUACUCCCGUUAAGGUUCUAGAAGAACUUUCAUAAUAAAUGUUGCUGUUGAAAUUUA